Paramacrobiotus metropolitanus is the source of this 672-nucleotide long non-coding RNA. RefSeq lists it as uncharacterized. The record is from RefSeq and is a predicted model, not a curated record. The transcript is spliced from 3 exons. Lineage: Eukaryota; Metazoa; Tardigrada; Eutardigrada; Parachela; Macrobiotidae.
UUGUGGGAAAGUUUUAUAUUAGUGUAUAUCUGUAAUAAAAAAACUGCAUUAAAAACAAAUAUGUCGUAAACCAAGGUGUAUAAUAAUACUGCAGUUUUUGUAAUAUUUCAUCACUCAUUGCCAUAUUCGAAAAAUGGCGUCAUCAGCGAAACUGGGAGAUAAACCGGAAUCCCCCGAGCUCCUUCCAAAAACCUUAGAAAAAGCCCUAAAACAGUUUAUCUAUCAUUUUUUAAAGGACAACAUACCAGAUGAUCCGCAAGCGUUUGUGGCUUAUGCAUCGGACUAUUUCUACAACAAACGCAAUCCUAAUGCGGCAAGCGCGAGGAGAUCACGAGUGAUGCUUUAUUGACAAAUAAAGGGAGCAAUGCUGCGUAAUAGCAGGAAAGCAAGAACAAAGCACUGAUGGCUAAACAAGCAAGUGUAUGCUAAAAGAGCUCUUGAGCGUUCGUCAAGACGUGAAAGAAGCAACUGGCGGCAAACACGUGCUGUGUGCCAUCAGCUGUGUGAUGAUGCGCAGACUGGACUCAAUCCAACGCGAGCGUACGCUGAGUCAUACAGCAAGAGAGGGACGAGAGAGCAAGUAUGCUCAGUGUGUGCGCCGCAUAUAUCCGCUUCAGCGGGUAUGAGUGCAGUGCAGCAGCACACGUACGUACAGCGAGAGAGGCGGUAUGG